RNAcentral lists this ribosomal RNA (497 nucleotides) under uncultured bacterium. RNAcentral's name for it is "partial 16S ribosomal RNA". It matches the Rfam family "Bacterial small subunit ribosomal RNA", at positions 28 to 507 of the family's 1533-position model. The record is from RNAcentral.
GAUGAACGCUGGCGGCGUGCCUAAUACAUGCAAGUCGAGCGAACGGACGAGAAUCUUGCUUCUCUGAUGUUAGCGGCGGACGGGUGAUUAACACGUGUAUAACCUACCUAUAAGACUGGGAUAACUUCGGGAAACCGGAGCUAAUACCGGAUGAUAUUUUGAACCGCAUGGUUCAACAGUGAAAGACGGUCUUGCUGUCACUUAUAGAUGGAUCCGCGCUGCAUUAGCUAGUUGGUAAGGUAACGGCUUACCAAGGCAACGAUGCAUAGCCGACCUGAGAGGGUGAUCGGCCACACUGGAACUGAGACACGGUCCAGACUCCUACGGGAGGCAGCAGUAGGGAAUCUUCCGCAAUGGGCGAAAGCCUGACGGAGCAACGCCGCGUGAGUGAUGAAGGUCUUCGGAUCGUAAAGCUCUGUUAGUAGGGAAGAACAUAUGUGUAAGUAACUGUGCACAUCUUGACGGUACCUAAUCAGAAAGCAACGGCUAACUACGUG